AAAUUGAAGAGUUUGAUCAUGGCUCAGAUUGAACGCUGGCGGCAGGCCUAACACAUGCAAGUCGAGCGGUAGCACAGAGAGCUUGCUCUCGGGUGACGAGCGGCGGACGGGUGAGUAAUGUCUGGGAAACUGCCUGAUGGAGGGGGAUAACUACUGGAAACGGUAGCUAAUACCGCAUAAUGUCGCAAGACCAAAGUGGGGGACCUUCGGGCCUCAUGCCAUCAGAUGUGCCCAGAUGGGAUUAGCUAGUAGGUGGGGUAACGGCUCACCUAGGCGACGAUCCCUAGCUGGUCUGAGAGGAUGACCAGCCACACUGGAACUGAGACACGGUCCAGACUCCUACGGGAGGCAGCAGUGGGGAAUAUUGCACAAUGGGCGCAAGCCUGAUGCAGCCAUGCCGCGUGUGUGAAGAAGGCCUUCGGGUUGUAAAGCACUUUCAGCGGGGAGGAAGGCGGUGAGGUUAAUAACCUCAUCGAUUGACGUUACCCGCAGAAGAAGCACCGGCUAACUCCGUGCCAGCAGCCGCGGUAAUACGGAGGGUGCAAGCGUUAAUCGGAAUUACUGGGCGUAAAGCGCACGCAGGCGGUCUGUCAAGUCGGAUGUGAAAUCCCCGGGCUCAACCUGGGAACUGCAUUCGAAACUGGCAGGCUAGAGUCUUGUAGAGGGGGUAGAAUUCCAGGUGUAGCGGUGAAAUGCGUAGAGAUCUGGAGGAAUACCGGUGGCGAAGGCGGCCCCUGGACAAAGACUGACGCUCAGGUGCGAAAGCGUGGGGAGCAAACAGGAUUAGAUACCCUGGUAGUCCACGCCGUAAACGAUGUCGAUUUGGAGGUUGUGCCCUUGAGGCGUGGCUUCCGGAGCUAACGCGUUAAAUCGACCGCCUGGGGAGUACGGCCGCAAGGUUAAAACUCAAAUGAAUUGACGGGGGCCCGCACAAGCGGUGGAGCAUGUGGUUUAAUUCGAUGCAACGCGAAGAACCUUACCUGGUCUUGACAUCCACAGAACUUUCCAGAGAUGGAUUGGUGCCUUCGGGAACUGUGAGACAGGUGCUGCAUGGCUGUCGUCAGCUCGUGUUGUGAAAUGUUGGGUUAAGUCCCGCAACGAGCGCAACCCUUAUCCUUUGUUGCCAGCGGUUAGGCCGGGAACUCAAAGGAGACUGCCAGUGAUAAACUGGAGGAAGGUGGGGAUGACGUCAAGUCAUCAUGGCCCUUACGACCAGGGCUACACACGUGCUACAAUGGCAUAUACAAAGAGAAGCGACCUCGCGAGAGCAAGCGGACCUCAUAAAGUAUGUCGUAGUCCGGAUUGGAGUCUGCAACUCGACUCCAUGAAGUCGGAAUCGCUAGUAAUCGUAGAUCAGAAUGCUACGGUGAAUACGUUCCCGGGCCUUGUACACACCGCCCGUCACACCAUGGGAGUGGGUUGCAAAAGAAGUAGGUAGCUUAACCUUCGGGAGGGCGCUUACCACUUUGUGAUUCAUGACUGGGGUGAAGUCGUAACAAGGUAACCGUAGGGGAACCUGCGGUUGGAUCACCUCCUUACCUUAAAGAA
This 1548-nucleotide ribosomal RNA is filed under the name Klebsiella pneumoniae. RNAcentral describes it as "bacterial SSU rRNA". It matches the Rfam family "Bacterial small subunit ribosomal RNA". The record is from RNAcentral. Lineage: Bacteria; Pseudomonadati; Pseudomonadota; Gammaproteobacteria; Enterobacterales; Enterobacteriaceae.